RNAcentral lists this ribosomal RNA (477 nucleotides) under Rhizobium leguminosarum. RNAcentral describes it as "bacterial SSU rRNA". It matches the Rfam family "Bacterial small subunit ribosomal RNA", at positions 22 to 455 of the family's 1533-position model. The record is from RNAcentral. Lineage: Bacteria; Pseudomonadati; Pseudomonadota; Alphaproteobacteria; Hyphomicrobiales; Rhizobiaceae.
GCUCAGAACGAACGCUGGCGGCAGGCUUAACACAUGCAAGUCGAGCGCCCCUCCUUCAAGCAAGCUUGAAGGAUUUUUAUCCUUGGAAAGGAAGAUCAAGAAGAGCUUCUAAGAAGCUUUCUUGAUGGAGGGGAGCGGCAGACGGGUGAGUAACGCGUGGGAAUCUACCCUUGACUACGGAAUAACGCAGGGAAACUUGUGCUAAUACCGUAUGUGUCCUUCGGGAGAAAGAUUUAUCGGUCAAGGAUGAGCCCGCGUUGGAUUAGCUAGUUGGUGGGGUAAAGGCCUACCAAGGCGACGAUCCAUAGCUGGUCUGAGAGGAUGAUCAGCCACAUUGGGACUGAGACACGGCCCAAACUCCUACGGGAGGCAGCAGUGGGGAAUAUUGGACAAUGGGCGCAAGCCUGAUCCAGCCAUGCCGCGUGAGUGAUGAAGGCCCUAGGGUUGUAAAGCUCUUUCACCGGAGAAGAUAAUGAC